UACAGAGGGUGCAAGCGUUGUUCGGAAUUAUUGGGCGUAAAGCGUGCGCAGGCGGUUCGCUAAGACAGAUGUGAAAUCCCCGGGCUUAACCUGGGAACUGCAUUUGUGACUGGCGGGCUAGAGUAUGGCAGAGGGGGGUAGAAUUCCACGUGUAGCAGUGAAAUGCGUAGAGAUGUGGAGGAAUACCGAUGGCGAAGGCAGCCCCCUGGGCCAAUACUGACGCUCAUGCACGAAAGCGUGGGGAGCAAACAGG
Molecule: ribosomal RNA, 253 nt
Filed under: uncultured bacterium
Lineage: Bacteria
Description: partial 16S ribosomal RNA
Rfam family: Bacterial small subunit ribosomal RNA
Source: RNAcentral